This 755-nucleotide ribosomal RNA is filed under the name uncultured Bacilli bacterium. RNAcentral's name for it is "bacterial SSU rRNA". It matches the Rfam family "Bacterial small subunit ribosomal RNA", at positions 46 to 757 of the family's 1533-position model. Lineage: Bacteria; Bacillati; Bacillota; Bacilli. The record is from RNAcentral.
GCCUAAUACAUGCAAGUCGAACGCGUUGGCCCAACUGAUUGAACGUGCUUGCACGGACUUGACGUUGGUUUACCAACGAGUGGCGGACGGGUGAGUAACACGUAGGUAACCUGCCCCAAAGCGGGGGAUAACAUUUGGAAACAGAUGCUAAUACCGCAUAACAAUUUGAAUCGCAUGAUUCAAAUUUAAAAGAUGGCUUCGGCUAUCACUUUGGGAUGGACCUGCGGCGCAUUAGCUUGUUGGUAGGGUAACGGCCUACCAAGGCUGUGAUGCGUAGCCGAGUUGAGAGACUGAUCGGCCACAAUGGAACUGAGACACGGUCCAUACUCCUACGGGAGGCAGCAGUAGGGAAUCUUCCACAAUGGGCGCAAGCCUGAUGGAGCAACACCGCGUGAGCGAAGAAGGGUUUCGGCUCGUAAAGCUCUGUUGUUAGAGAAGAACAUGCGUGAGAGCAACUGCUCACGCAGUGACGGUAUCUAACCAGAAAGUCACGGCUAACUACGUGCCAGCAGCCGCGGUAAUACGUAGGUGGCAAGCGUUAUCCGGAUUUAUUGGGCGUAAAGCGAGCGCAGGCGGUUUGAUAAGUCUGAUGUGAAAGCCUUUGGCUUAACCAAAGAAGUGCAUCGGAAACUGUCAGACUUGAGUGCAGAAGAGGACAGUGGAACUCCAUGUGUAGCGGUGGAAUGCGUAGAUAUAUGGAAGAACACCAGUGGCGAAGGCGGCUGUCUGGUCUGCAACUGACGCUGAGGCUCGAA